RNAcentral lists this ribosomal RNA (253 nucleotides) under uncultured bacterium. RNAcentral describes it as "partial 16S ribosomal RNA". It matches the Rfam family "Bacterial small subunit ribosomal RNA", at positions 524 to 776 of the family's 1533-position model. The record is from RNAcentral.
UACGUAGGGUGCAAGCGUUAAUCGGAAUUACUGGGCGUAAAGCGUGCGCAGGCGGUUGUGCAAGACAGCUGUGAAAUCCCCGGGCUCAACCUGGGAAUUGCAUUUGUGACUGCACGGCUAGAGUGUGUCAGAGGGGGGUAGAAUUCCACGUGUAGCAGUGAAAUGCGUAGAUAUGUGGAGGAAUACCGAUGGCGAAGGCAGCCCCCUGGGAUAACACUGACGCUCAUGCACGAAAGCGUGGGGAGCAAACAGG